GCCGCAAUAGCUCAGCUGGUAGAGCAACGCAUUCGUAAUGCGUGGGUCGGGGGUUCGACUCCCUCUUGCGGCACCA
RNAcentral lists this transfer RNA (76 nucleotides) under Gammaproteobacteria bacterium. Its description in RNAcentral is "tRNA-Thr". It matches the Rfam family "tRNA". From Rfam's summary of the family: Transfer RNA (tRNA) molecules are approximately 80 nucleotides in length. Their secondary structure includes four short double-helical elements and three loops (D, anti-codon, and T loops). RNAcentral also lists the same sequence under 2 other names. Lineage: Bacteria; Pseudomonadati; Pseudomonadota; Gammaproteobacteria. The record is from RNAcentral.